UGCAUUUCCUCAAGAGGAAUAUAUUUCACGAGGCCACUAACAACUGUUCGAGGGGAUUCUUCACCGACAUCAAUUUCUUCAACAUAGAGUGAAUCUGCAUCUGGGUGCUUCUGAACUUUUUUGAUGAGGCCAACAGGUUCUAUUGACAAAGUUUUAUGUUGUGGUUUUAUUUGCCGAUAUGAAUGGGGUACUUGAAGAGUAUUAUAUUCUUCCCUUUUAUUUUUGGUGCUUUGCUCACAUACUUUGAUUCACAAAAAU
Long non-coding RNA from Zingiber officinale, 258 nucleotides. RefSeq lists it as uncharacterized. NCBI's taxonomy places the organism in Eukaryota, Viridiplantae, Streptophyta, Magnoliopsida, Zingiberales, Zingiberaceae. The record is from RefSeq and is a predicted model, not a curated record. The transcript has 3 exons.